UCAAGGAUGGCGGUAACCUGUUCUAUACCACUGCUGGUACUAAUCUUGAAGCUGGCAUAGACAAUCUUAAUGAUGAUGCAUCUGUGUCUAAAAUGAUGAAGCUUGCAAACCAAAGCAGCUUUAUAGAUGUUUACAUUCAGCACAAUGAACAUGAUGCUAUGAGCUAUCCAACGGUUGUUGAAGCCGUCCAACAUGACAACAUUGAUGAGAUGCAUGGCUCAAUUGAAAAGGUUGUGGAAGUAGAAGCAGAUGCUUGCACAGACUAGGAUACCGAGGUUUCACGUAAUCUGGAAUUUGUGAAGUCUGCUGGAGGUAAUGGACCUUUGACUUCUCAUGGUUCGUCAUCUUUUACUCUGAGUAGGGGAGGAGACAGUUGUGCUGGUAAUGUCAGUGGUAGCCUCUCAACAUUGUAUUGUUUGGACUGUGCGGCAAGGAGGCAGUUAGCCACAGCGACUUCCUAGAUCUUCUGAAUCUCAUAUUCCUAACCAUACUGACUUGGUCAUGCAUACUCGCAAAAAGAAUGUACUUGGUUCACUGGAGGUAGGUCUUUGCAAGCCCAACACUGAAUCGCUCAAGUACAAUGAUGGUGGAAAGAUCCUAUUACGAUCGUACCUCCGUUUGUGGGAGUGGAAGCGUUGGCUUAUCUGCUUACUCAAAGAAAUACCUCUUCACCGGAGAUAUCUGUGGUAACUGCUGCAAGCAGAGAUGCUUUGUUGAAUGAAGCAAAUUUGGGUGGUGGUGCUGCAAAUCAGGCGUACCUUUGUAGGAUGUCAUAUGAAAAAUACAGUAUGUGGACUCAGCAACCAGGCUCCCUCCCUCCCUCCCUCUCUCUCUCUCUCUCUGAACGACCAGGUUCUAGUCUCAACUUGCACUUAACGGGCUCUCACAAGAUAAUCUUUAGAGAGAUGUCCUCACCAUUCAGUAGAGUAUGACAACUAACACUAAGUAAAGAUGGCCCUUCCAGGGCCUAGUCCCUACUUUGUUUCAUGAGCAGGGGAUUGAGAUUUGGCCUGAGUGCUCCAAGCUCUGAUCGUAAAGCCAUAGUUAUUGUUGAUGACCAGCUCUGACCUGGUGAUGAACUCAGAGAUGGCAGUCUCGACUUUGCAUCAUGGAGCUCUUGAAACUGGGAAGACCGGGGUGGCUCUUUAGGCAAGUUCCUGAAGCUGAGAGGGUUUCACAAGAAGAAACCACUAUGACAGAGAUGCAAACUGCACAUGCAGACUGCCCCGUGUAGAGACGACUGUUUUUGGCGGGCUCCCCUAGUUCUCAAUUUUUGUGUCUGGUGUACCCGUCGCCGAUCGAGUGCUACACGUGUCCUUUGUGGAAAGAAGGCCAGAGCUUUAGGGCAAGUAUACUUGCAUUCUCAAGCAUAUUCAAGGAAUCCUUGAUCCCACAUUUUUCAAGCCUCGGAAUGACGGAGGGUGAGCAUGCAUUGGUAAAUUAGGUCCGGUCGCAAGCUGAUCCAGCGCACCUUCAGGUGAUCAAGGAUCAGGAGCUAGAUGUCUCAGGCAGUCAGGCCGCAGGGGUGAAGCGGCACAGCAGCCGGAGAUGUUGCUUUCGCCAAUGAAGGAGAACCUGGCUUCCGUGACGAAGCAAUAGAAACGCAGGCUCUCUCAAGCAAAACCGUCUGCAGGACAACAUCAUCUUUUUGCCUGUUGUUUUGUAAGGUUCUUAGGCUUUGCCAUCUGCUGCUUCUCAAGUCGUGGGUUCCUUAGUUUUUUCUUGGUCGCGCAGUGUUUCCCCGAGAUCUUUCUGGCCUUUGGCACCUUCCAGUUUUCGCGUGUGAAGUUCAAGGGCCAAGGGUAUCUGUUCCUGCCACACAAGUCAGAUGUAGUUCUCUGGAGCUGCAUUGUAAAUUUCACUGCAACUCAGCUCGGUUUUUUGGCCUUCUCUUCCCUAUGUGAUUUCGUUGAGAUGCAACUUUCCAACAGACGGCACGGAGCUUGCAUUUGCCACCGGCCCGUCGUGUUGCGGAGUUCUGUCCAGGUUUCUUUUCGCUUAGUUACUGAAAAUCAUAUGGUUCAGGUCCAGGAAGUUUGAGUUCGGAUGUAAUCUGCAUCUCUGCAGUCACGUGAUGGUUCUAGGCAUACAAUGCGUGCAGAUAUGCAUUUUCUGAAUAUAUUUCCUCGCACGGCGUUUGCCCAGUCUGAAUAUAUUUCAUGGUAGGCUGGUACCGAUCAUGUAGCAUUAGCACUGUUCGGAGACGCCUGUUGUUUUUCAGUUCCUUUCAUGUGAAUGGGAACAAGAAGAC
Molecule: RNA transcript, 2251 nt
Organism: Phragmites australis (common reed)
Lineage: Eukaryota; Viridiplantae; Streptophyta; Magnoliopsida; Poales; Poaceae
Gene name: protein ETHYLENE-INSENSITIVE 2-like
Exons: 4
Source: RefSeq, a predicted model, not a curated record